UACAGAGGUCUCAAGCGUUGUUCGGAUUCAUUGGGCGUAAAGCGCACGUAGGUGGCUUUGCAAGUCGAUUGUGAAAUCCCCGGGCUUAACCUGGGAACUGCAGUCGAGACUGCUCUGCUUGAGUAUGGGAGAGGGAGGUGGAAUUUCCGGUGUAGCGGUGAAAUGCGUAGAUAUCGGAAGGAACAUCAGUGGCGAAGGCGACCUCCUGGACCAAUACUGACACUCAAGUGCGAAAGCGUGGGGAGCAAACAGG
RNAcentral lists this ribosomal RNA (253 nucleotides) under uncultured bacterium. Its description in RNAcentral is "partial 16S ribosomal RNA". It matches the Rfam family "Bacterial small subunit ribosomal RNA", at positions 524 to 776 of the family's 1533-position model. The record is from RNAcentral.